GUCUUAUCUUUAAAUACCUGGUGUAUGUUUCCUGGUGAGCCGUCUUUCUCCAGCUUGACCCUCCUGCAAACCUUACUUGUGAGUAAGAUUCCUUUUCUCGGUGCGUGGUCUGUGUCCUCCUUUGACAUCAUUAGGGGAUGAGCAAGGCGGAAGCAGCCCAGCCCAAUGGUGCCAUUGGCACAGCCAGGACACACUGAGGGGACCUGACCACACGCAUGUGCCCAGUCCUGGGACCCGGUACAGGGGUGGCCUCCUUUCCUUCCUGUGGAAUGGGGGUCCUGCAGUGCCAUCCAUAAUGGCUGCUUUCUGUGACUGUGGAAGGUUGGCCACUUAGAACAGAGGAAAAGAGGUUUGAUGCCAGGAUGCAGCCGCUGCAGCCAGGCUCACUAUAGGGACCCCCAGGCCGGCUCCCCUGGGGCGAGGACUGUGGCUGGAGGGCCAGGCUGGGAGGUAGGAGUCAUCCUCCAGCAGCCCCUGGGGCACAGUGAAUGGACCGUUUGUGUUUUAUGAACAGCCCAGUAUCACAGGAAUGCAGCCCAGCCCCACUUUGGGGGCAAGAAGGAGCUGAGAGCUGAGAAAUCAUAAUAAAACACCCCUCCCGGGAAGCACUCGCAUGAAUCACGGUUCAGGUAAUAAUAACCCUUUUGGCAAAAGCGUUUUCUCUGCCCCAAGCCACAGUAUGUGCAGUCGCACAAAGGGCCCUGUGACCGGGCGGCUGUGCCGCCAAGUGCAUGCUCUUGCGGUUCUUGAAUUCUGCUCUUUUCACAGGGCUGGGGCUGGCGAGGAAUUUAGAGGACUCCAAAGCUUCAUGAAAUAAUACUCCGGGGCUGCAUUUAUGUAACAGAUACAUAUAGUUAUUGGGGUCCUAGUCAGAGCAAAAUAAACUUUAAAAAUCUUUAUAUUAAUCUCAUUUGUAGUUUCAUAUUAAGUGAUUUCUCUUUUUUUUGACUAAGGGAAUGGAAACUACCCUGCAGAAUGCGAUGUUGGCAGCCUGAGUGGGUUUAGGGUAUUGAAAGAG
RNAcentral lists this long non-coding RNA (1018 nucleotides) under Homo sapiens (human). Its description in RNAcentral is "HSALNT0049515". The record is from RNAcentral. Lineage: Eukaryota; Metazoa; Chordata; Mammalia; Primates; Hominidae.